CUGUGCUCCCCCCGCAGGCGCGCACGGGAUGCUGCACCUCACGGAGCCGCGCAGGGUCCUCGCCGGCCCGGGCCGGGUGUCCUACGCCCUGACGAUGGACGGGAAGCCGUACACCGUGCACCUGCAGCAGCAGCUCUUCAUACCCAGCGAGUUCAGGGUCUACACCUACAACGGACGGGGGUCGCUGCUGUCCAACUUCGCAGCGGUUAAGGCUGACUGCUACUACCAAGGAUACAUUGAAGGUGUCCCGAACUCAGCUGUGACGCUUAGCACCUGCUCCGGGCUCAGAGGGCUGUUGCAAUUUGAGAAUGUCAGCUAUGGGAUUGAGCCGCUGGAUUCCUCAUCUGGAUUUGAGCACCUUGUUUAUCAAAUAAAAAACGGAUCCACUGAAAGGCCGCUCUUUGAGAACGAUGACAUGUUUAGAGAUGGAGAGCAGGUGACCGGAGAGGUGUCCCGUACCCUGCACGUUGAAUUAGCAGCUGCCAUUAAAUCGGCCAGAUAUCUGGAACUGGCGAUAGUUUUGGACAAGGGUUUGUACAACUACAUGGGGCCAGACAAGAACGUUGUAACGCAGAAAAUAGUUCAGCUCAUUGGCUUUGUCAAUAGCAUGUUCAGCCGCCUUAAUGUGACAAUCGUUCUGUCUUCCCUGGAGUUCUGGACAGAUUAUAACAAAAUCAUUACAACAGGGGAAGCUAACGAAUUACUACAUCGAUUUGUAAAGUGGAAAAACUCCCAUCUUGUCCUGCGGCCCCACGACAUGGCAUAUUUACUUGUGUACAGGGAUCACCCUCGUUAUGCAGGGACGACGUUUGCCGGGAAGAUGUGUGUCAGCAACUAUUCUGGAGCCGUUGCGCUGUACCAAGACGCGGUGACCCUGGAAAGCUUUUCCAUCAUUGUUGCCCAGCUGCUGGGGCUGAGUCUGGGCAUGACCUACGACGAUGCGAGGACCUGUCAGUGUUCUGGACCCACCUGCAUCAUGCACAGGAAUGCCAUACUGUUCAGUGGUGUAAAAAGCUUCAGUAGCUGCAGCAUUGGAGACUUUGAAACCUUUAUUAAACAUAGCGGAGGACACUGCCUUUCCAAUAGGCCGCAUUUGAAUCCAUCCUACAAGAGUCCAAGCUGUGGCAAUGGUAUUAUAGAAGAUGGAGAGCAAUGUGACUGUGGCUCCGCACAGGAAUGCACACAGAAUAGAUGCUGUACUACGGGGUGUAGAUUAGCAAGAGGCGCGCGGUGUGCUACUGGGUUAUGCUGCUAUAGCUGUCAGAUAAAAGCAAGGAACAGGAAAUGCAGAGAGAGGGUGGAUAAUCAAUGCGAUCUCCCCGAGUUCUGCAACGGGACCUCAGCAUUCUGUCCACGGGACGUCUUUGUCCAAAAUGGGCACAAAUGCGAGCACAACGCUGGCUACUGUUACAACGGGUAUUGCCAGGCUGCUGACCUCCAGUGCCAGAGAAUCUACGGGAGAGGUUCCAAAAAUGGCCCUGAUGCCUGUUACGAAGAAGUCAAUAGUCAAACAGAUAGGUUUGGCCACUGCGGAAAUGAUCCAAACAUGGGAUACAAGAGCUGCAGCUGGACGAAUCUCAAGUGCGGGAAGUUAAUUUGUACCUAUCCAAUUCGUGUUCCAUUUAUUCAAGAAAACACGGCUGUGAUUUAUGCUCAAGUGCGUGAGGAUCUGUGCGUGUCUUUAGAUUACAUGCAGCCAGCGACAGCGAAAGACCCCAUGAUGGUGAAAGACGGCACAAUGUGUGCUACCGGCAAGGUUUGCAUGAAUGGAAAGUGCCAAGUAGAAGGCGUUCUGGGCUACGAUUGCAAUCCAGCAACAAAGUGCAAUGGACACGGGGUAAGUUUGAGUAAUGUUAUUCCCAUGUGAUGGUGCCUAGUCUCGGCAGGUAAAGCGGCAGGUGGUUUCGGGAUACGACCCCACGCUGCGAUGCCUGGUAACAGGCUACGGCAGCAGUUUGGCCUGGCAGGUAUGGCCAGAGCCUCUCCUGCGACCUAUUAGAUUCCCUAGGCUGCAGGUGAACGUCCAGUUCUCCUGAGACAAAGCGCAGGCGGACAGAUGCCCGUGUCCUUUGUCCCGGGAGAAAUCCUACAAAAGGUUCCUGGCUGAAAAAGCAGUCACAGGUUUUCCUAGGACACGGCAAAGGGUGCCUGCAGCCCCAGCACGGUGGCAGAAAGGCUGCACUGCAUUCAGCCCCUCGGUGAACCCAGAUUCGUCGGGCGAUGCAUAUACACGCUGGUCCUGGGAUCCUUUUGUCUUGGGAUACUCCCCCGCGUGACUUAUCGAGGGACAAAUGCAAUGCCUGUUCCUAGCCGAAGGGGAUUUAGGUGUGUAAGUGGAGUCGGGGUCCCCACUGUUGCGGGCCUAAAGAGCUAACUGGUGUGUCCUAGGGUGGCUGAGUCCCCUCCUGCCGGCUGUGUUUCCUGCCUUCGUUGAACCCCUGGUCCAAAAGGAAUGGCCUGACCGGGUGUGCAAUAACAAGAAAAAUUGCCACUGCGAUCCUGGCUGGCAGCCUCCAAAUUGCCAAACCAGAGGAUCCGUG
Alligator mississippiensis (American alligator) is the source of this 2540-nucleotide RNA transcript. It is a transcript of the gene named disintegrin and metalloproteinase domain-containing protein 32, with no coding region annotated. The record is from RefSeq and is a predicted model, not a curated record. Lineage: Eukaryota; Metazoa; Chordata; Crocodylia; Alligatoridae. The transcript is spliced from 17 exons.